AGAGUUUGAUCAUGGCUCAGGACGAACGCUGGCGGCGUGCUUAACACAUGCAAGUCGAACGGAAAGGCCCUUCGGGGUACUCGAGUGGCGAACGGGUGAGUAACACGUGGGUGAUCUGCCCUGCACUCUGGGAUAAGCCUGGGAAACUGGGUCUAAUACCGGAUAGGACCGCAUGCUUCAUGGUGUGUGGUGCAAAGCUUUUGCGGUGUGGGAUGAGCCCGCGGCCUAUCAGCUUGUUGGUGGGGUAAUGGCCUACCAAGGCGACGACGGGUAGCCGGCCUGAGAGGGUGACCGGCCACACUGGGACUGAGAUACGGCCCAGACUCCUACGGGAGGCAGCAGUGGGGAAUAUUGCACAAUGGGCGCAAGCCUGAUGCAGCGACGCCGCGUGAGGGAUGACGGCCUUCGGGUUGUAAACCUCUUUCAGUAGGGACGAAGCGAAAGUGACGGUACCUACAGAAGAAGGACCGGCCAACUACGUGCCAGCAGCCGCGGUAAUACGUAGGGUCCGAGCGUUGUCCGGAAUUACUGGGCGUAAAGAGCUCGUAGGUGGUUUGUCGCGUUGUUCGUGAAAACUCACAGCUUAACUGUGGGCGUGCGGGCGAUACGGGCAGACUAGAGUACUGCAGGGGAGACUGGAAUUCCUGGUGUAGCGGUGGAAUGCGCAGAUAUCAGGAGGAACACCGGUGGCGAAGGCGGGUCUCUGGGCAGUAACUGACGCUGAGGAGCGAAAGCGUGGGGAGCGAACAGGAUUAGAUACCCUGGUAGUCCAA
This 773-nucleotide ribosomal RNA is filed under the name uncultured bacterium. RNAcentral describes it as "bacterial SSU rRNA". It matches the Rfam family "Bacterial small subunit ribosomal RNA", at positions 8 to 798 of the family's 1533-position model. The record is from RNAcentral.